This 508-nucleotide ribosomal RNA is filed under the name uncultured bacterium. RNAcentral describes it as "partial 16S ribosomal RNA". It matches the Rfam family "Bacterial small subunit ribosomal RNA", at positions 30 to 523 of the family's 1533-position model. The record is from RNAcentral.
AUUGAACGCUGGCGGCAUGCCUAACACAUGCAAGUCGAACGGCAGCAUGAAAUGGGGUAACCCAUUUUGAUGGCGAGUGGCGGACGGGUGAGUAAUAUGUAGGAAUCUACCUAGAGGUGCGGGAUAACUUAGGGAAACUUAAGCUAAUACCACAUAAGCCCUACGGGGGAAAGCAGGGGACCGCAAGGCCUUGCGCCUUAUGAUGAGCCUACAUCGGAUUAGCUUGUUGGUGGGGUAAAGGCCUACCAAGGCGACGAUCCGUAGCUGGUCUGAGAGGAUGAUCAGCCACACUGGGACUGAGACACGGCCCAGACUCCUACGGGAGGCAGCAGUGGGGAAUAUUGGACAAUGGGCGCAAGCCUGAUCCAGCAAUGCCGCGUGUGUGAAGAAGGCCUUAGGGUUGUAAAGCACUUUCAGUGGGGAGGAAGUUGAGUUUGCUAAUACCAGAUUCAAUUGACGUUACCCACAGAAGAAGCACCGGCUAACUCUGUGCCAGCAGCCGCGGUAA